CGUGUAGGUGGUCAACUAGGUUUGAUGUGAAAUCCCCGGGCUUAACCUGGGAAUUGCGUCGAAAACGGGUCGACUCGAGUGAGAUAGAGGGUUGUGGAAUUUCCGGUGUAGCGGUGAAAUGCGUAGAUAUCGGAAAGAACAUCAGUGGCGAAGGCGACAACCUGGAUCUUAACUGACACUGAGGCGCGAAGGCGUGGGGAGCAAACA
This 207-nucleotide ribosomal RNA is filed under the name uncultured bacterium. Its description in RNAcentral is "partial 16S ribosomal RNA". It matches the Rfam family "Bacterial small subunit ribosomal RNA", at positions 568 to 774 of the family's 1533-position model. The record is from RNAcentral.